This 569-nucleotide ribosomal RNA is filed under the name uncultured bacterium. RNAcentral describes it as "bacterial SSU rRNA". It matches the Rfam family "Bacterial small subunit ribosomal RNA", at positions 214 to 783 of the family's 1533-position model. The record is from RNAcentral.
GGGGGUGUACGAGGAGCUCGCGGCCUAUCAGGUAGUUGGUGGGGUCACGGCCUACCAAGCCAUUGACGGGUAGCUGGUCUGAGAGGAUGGCCAGCCACAUUGGGACUGAGAUACGGCCCAGACUCCUACGGGAGGCAGCAGUGGGGAAUAUUGCGCAAUGGCCGCAAGGCUGACGCAGCGACGCCGCGUGGGGGAUGAAGCAUUUCGGUGUGUAAACCCCUGUUGCUCGGGACGAACAGCGCUUUUCGAGUGGUCUGACGGUACCGGGUGAGGAAGCACCGGCUAACUCCGUGCCAGCAGCCGCGGUAAUACGGGGGGUGCGAGCGUUGUCCGGAAUCACUGGGCGUAAAGGGCGCGUAGGCGGUCUGCUAAGCGUGUGGUGAAAGCUCGGGGCUCAACCCCGAGUCGGCCAUGCGAACUGGUGGACUUGAGCACUGUAGAGGCAGGUGGAAUUCCGGGUGUAGCGGUGGAAUGCGUAGAGAUCCGGAAGAACACCGGUGGCGAAGGCGGCCUGCUGGGCAGUAGCUGACGCUGAGGCGCGACAGCGUGGGGAGCAAACAGGAUUAGAU